CGACGUCACGCGAAAUAAGACUUAAUUUGGCUAAAGUAAUGGAUACUGCCCGGUUCCAUUUUGUUAAACGUAAAGAUAAAAUUCCAGAAGUGAAAGAUACAAGACGGUCUAAAGGACAGCGCAUUAAAUAUUUCCGUUACGAGAUUCAAUUUAGUGCCCCGAAUGAGAGUCAUGCCGAACGAGUACGUUGAGUGAAGCCCAAACCCAACUGAACCUGGUGCCUAGAAGCUGAACCAACAAGCCGAACCCAGCCCAGCCUGUUCCUCGACAUCACGGAGAGAGCCGCCUAGUUCCCAAGCCGAGUUCAGUAGUGGAGCCAUUGGCGACGAACUCCUCAUCUUAAGCUGUACAAUAUUCGAAGCCGAAUCUGCUAGACUCUGAGCCGUUGCAAGCCGAUCGCGCGUCGUGGGUCUCAG
Pectinophora gossypiella (pink bollworm) is the source of this 416-nucleotide long non-coding RNA. RefSeq lists it as uncharacterized. Lineage: Eukaryota; Metazoa; Arthropoda; Insecta; Lepidoptera; Gelechiidae. The record is from RefSeq and is a predicted model, not a curated record. The transcript is spliced from 3 exons.